This 253-nucleotide ribosomal RNA is filed under the name uncultured bacterium. RNAcentral's name for it is "partial 16S ribosomal RNA". It matches the Rfam family "Bacterial small subunit ribosomal RNA", at positions 524 to 776 of the family's 1533-position model. The record is from RNAcentral.
UACGUAGGGUGCAAGCGUUGUCCGGAAUUAUUGGGCGUAAAGAGCUCGUAGGCGGUUUGUCGCGUCAGCUGUGAAAACCUGGGGCUCAACCCCGGGCCUGCAGCCGAUACGGGCAAACUAGAAUUCGGUAGGGGAGACUGGAAUUCCUGGUGUAGCGGUGAAAUGCGCAGAUAUCAGGAGGAACACCGGUGGCGAAGGCGGGUCUCUGGGCCGAUAUUGACGCUGAGGUGCGAAAGCAUGGGGAGCAAACAGG